GAGGAAUAUUGGUCAAUGGGCGAGAGCCUGAACCAGCCAAGUCGCGUGAAGGAUGACUGUCUUAUGGAUUGUAAACUUCUUUUAUACGGGAAUAACAAGAGCCACGUGUGGCUCCCUGCAUGUACCGUAUGAAUAAGCAUCGGCUAACUCCGUGCCAGCAGCCGCGGUAAUACGGAAGGUCCGGGCGUUAUCCGGAUUUAUUGGGUUUAAAGGGAGCGUAGGCUGGAGAUUAAGUGUGUUGUGAAAUGUAGACGCUCAACGUCUGACUUGCAGCGCAUACUGGUUUCCUUGAGUACGCACAACGUUGGCGGAAUUCGUCGUGUAGCGGUGAAAUGCUUAGAUAUGACGAAGAACUCCGAUUGCGAAGGCAGCUGACGGGAGCGCAACUGACGCUGAAGCUCGAAGGUGCGGGUAUCGAACAGGAUUAGAUACCCUGGUAGUCCGCACAGUAAACGAUGGAUGCCCGCUGUUAGCGCCUGGCGUUAGCGGCUAAGCGAAAGCAUUAAGCAUCCCACCUGGGGAGUACGCCGGCAACGGUG
RNAcentral lists this ribosomal RNA (539 nucleotides) under uncultured bacterium. RNAcentral's name for it is "bacterial SSU rRNA". It matches the Rfam family "Bacterial small subunit ribosomal RNA", at positions 356 to 896 of the family's 1533-position model. The record is from RNAcentral.